Esox lucius (northern pike) is the source of this 1554-nucleotide long non-coding RNA. The record is from Ensembl. Lineage: Eukaryota; Metazoa; Chordata; Actinopteri; Esociformes; Esocidae.
CUAAAGUGGACCAUACCAUUUCUUACCCUUGACGUUAGAUGAACAUCUUGUCUGCCUGCCUCACUUCCAACAUUGCGGUGGCUUUUUUUUUUUUUUUUAAGGAGAAGCCCCCCCACUACAAUGGGUAAACCGGAACUACCAAGACAUUAAUUCAUUCAAGUUUCAGUUUACUUGUUGUGAUAGAGGGGCUUUAAAAAAUGACACACAAUGGAUGCUUGAGUGACGUAACGCAAAUUCCCGAGCUAAAGUUGGACAGCUAUUGUGCUGCCCAGGAGAGUCAACCCAAACGUCUGUGGUUAAUUCUUUAAGAUCAGUCUGUUACCUGAGCUAAUGGACCCGGCCUCUGUGCUCAUGAGUACAUGAAAGCUAAUUUUGGCAGAGAGGGAGUUCCUGGAACUGGUUGGCUGCCCUCUUAUGAUGAGAGUCCCCAGUGUCAUCCCCUCACUCUGAAAGCCCGCCCCUCACCUGUAGUCCCUCCUGCAUUAUAAGGAUCCACAACAGCAAUGGGCCCAGUUGCUUUACAUGACACCAUGCCUGACACGAUCAGUAGGGGUCAGACUCAAGGCAGGCUGGAACACAACUAGAUAUCUGUCUAUCUGAGGUGCUGGUUCACCCAUGUUACCAUAACAACACUGUAAAUGGGUUUCUGUGAAAUUGACAAUAGCUUAGAGGCAGCUUGUGACAAAUAUAGCUCUGUAUUUCAUAUUGCAGUAUUCCUGCUCUAAUAGGAAUAUGUGUCAAUGCAUGUGCUGUGUAAUGACACAGUCAAAUACUGUAAACUGAUGGUAUUAUAUUGUAAGAAAAGUAAAUUCUACUCAAUUUGUUACAUUCAUUGAGGGGAGGAGUAUGUAUUCAUCAGUGUCUUACAGUAAUUACCUGAGAUUUGGGUGGAUGUUUACACAUUAAUACACAAAUAUAGCCUCUUAUAAGCCAAGUCUGAAAUAUUUUCAUGAGCCAGAAAUAAGAAGACCAUGCACCCACUAGUGGUCGAAAUUAUUUUGGUGCUGUAAAGAGACAGUACUGUACUGUACUGUACUGUAUUCUGCUGAGUGGAAUUACAGUACCAUUUUAAACACGGCCUACCGGCAUGGACAAUAUUUACAUUGUAAAUAACAGUAUCAUUUUAUUUUCUGCUUUAGUGAGGAUGAAUGUAAUUAAGAACAAAGCCAGUAUUUAUGUGAAAUUUGACUUUGAAUUUAUCCUGGUUAUUCCAACGGUUAUUUUGCCGAAUGUUUGUACGUGCCUUCUUAACGGUUGGUCUCUCUACAUCUGUGUACUGUCGGCCCCUCUGGAUGAGUGUGUCUGGUAAAAGACAUACAUGUAAAUGCAGUGUGACAGUGUGGGUUCCAUUUGCGCUGAUCCACGUGUUUUCCUUACCAAUGUGUGCAUCUUCUUUGUCUUUCUGUGACCCCCCUGUAUCAACCUGAUGUCACAAUGUCUUUUUGUAAAUAGUCUUUUUACAUUCCUACUCUUGGAGCAGAUCUGUUAAUGGUCUCCUGUGAGUGACGACUGUACUUUAAGUAGUAAUAAUAAUAACAGUCUUUCUUAACUCGA